Non-coding RNA from Acanthosepion pharaonis, 110 nucleotides. The record is from the annotation of a GenBank genome assembly. NCBI's taxonomy places the organism in Eukaryota, Metazoa, Mollusca, Cephalopoda, Sepiida, Sepiidae.
ACGACCACAGUACGUUAAAAUGCCGGUUCACUUACGAUCACCGAAGUUAAGCAAUGUUGAGGCUGGUCAGUACCUAGAUAAGUGGCCGCUUGGUAAGAAUGGGUACUGUA